GGAAACCAUUGCUAAUACCCAAUGAGCCGAGAGGUAAAAAAUUUAUUGCCUGAAGAGGAGCUCGCGUCCGAUUAGUUAGUUGGUGGGGUAAAGGCUUACCAAGACGGCGAUCGGUAGCUGGUCUGAGAGGAUGAGCAGCCACACUGGGACUGAGACACGGCCCAGACUCCUACGGGAGGCAGCAGUGGGGAAUUUUCCGCAAUGGGCGAAAGCCUGACGGAGCAAUACCGCGUGAGGGAGGAAGGCCUUUGGGUUGUAAACCUCUUUUCUUAAGGAAGAAGAUCUGACGGUACUUAAGGAAUCAGCAUCGGCUAACUCCGUGCCAGCAGCCGCGGUAAUACGGAGGAUGCAAGCGUUAUCCGGAAUUAUUGGGCGUAAAGCGUCCGCAGGCGGCACUAUAAAUCUGCUGUCAAAGACCGCAGCUCAACUGCGGAAAGGCAGUGGAAACUGUAGAGCUAGAGUACGGUAGGGGUAGAGGGAAUUCCCAAUGUAGCGGUGAAAUGCGUAGAGAUUGGGAAGAACACCAGUGGCGAAAGCGCUCUACUGGGCCGUAACUGACGCUCAGGGACGAAAGCU
RNAcentral lists this ribosomal RNA (576 nucleotides) under uncultured cyanobacterium. RNAcentral's name for it is "bacterial SSU rRNA". It matches the Rfam family "Bacterial small subunit ribosomal RNA", at positions 152 to 761 of the family's 1533-position model. The record is from RNAcentral. Lineage: Bacteria; Bacillati; Cyanobacteriota.